This 162-nucleotide non-coding RNA is filed under the name uncultured Geminigera. Lineage: Eukaryota; Cryptophyceae; Pyrenomonadales; Geminigeraceae. The record is from RNAcentral.
AAAAAAAGACAAGGAAGGGAAAGAAAGAUAGUGACACAUGAAAGAAAAAGGCAAAGACACAGAGCCGGAUAUAUACAUAUAUAUGUAUAUAUCCGGCUCUGUGUCUUUGCCUUUUUCUUUCAUGUGUCACUAUCUUUCUUUCCCUUCCUUGUCUUUUUUUUU